This 460-nucleotide long non-coding RNA is filed under the name Phoenix dactylifera (date palm). RNAcentral's name for it is "long non-coding RNA (PDAC_LNC015615)". The record is from RNAcentral. Lineage: Eukaryota; Viridiplantae; Streptophyta; Magnoliopsida; Arecales; Arecaceae.
UCUGAUCUAUACUCAUUAUCUUGCCCUAACAGUAUUGCCUUGAGUCACAUAAUUCAUAUUCUUGCAAUAAUUUGGCAUGCAAUGAAUGAAAUAUUGUCUUGUGCUUAAUAUUUCAUUAUUUUGCAAUCUUUGAUGUUGUCAAAAAAAAGAAAAAAAAAUAUAUCUGAGUAUAUGCUCAUAAUGAAGCAUGUUCAUUAUGACUAGUGUCUUCUAGAUUUUGUAUUUGUUUUGACCAGUAUCUACUCUUUGUUAUUGUCUGCAUUUCUUCUCUAGAAUAUUAUACUUUUGGCAAAGAUGAUGAAAUACAUUUUUUCUUUAUUCAUGAUCUUUGAGUCAUUACAAUACUAUCCAUUGCUAUUCAUUCUUUUUGAUGAUGACAAAAAGGGGGAGAAAGUAUAAGAGAGAAACUAGAAGCAAAUUCUAUAAGAAAGAUAAUUCUAUAAACAAAGACUGUAUAAGG